This 210-nucleotide ribosomal RNA is filed under the name uncultured bacterium. Its description in RNAcentral is "partial 16S ribosomal RNA". It matches the Rfam family "Bacterial small subunit ribosomal RNA", at positions 1284 to 1500 of the family's 1533-position model. The record is from RNAcentral.
UAUCUCAGUUCGGAUUGGAGGCUGAAACCCGCCUCCAUGAAGUUGGAUUCACUAGUAAUCGCGCAUCAGCCAUGGCGCGGUGAAUACGUUCCCGGGCCUUGUACACACCGCCCGUCAAGCCAUGGGAGCUGGGGGGUGCCUGAAGUUCGUGACCGCAAGGAUCGACCUAGGGCAAAACCGGUGACUGGGGCUAAGUCGUAACAAGGUACC